UUAGUAUGUCCGAGUCUAUCCCGGCAGGAAACUUUUGGCACGAAUUUCAAACAGUGAAAAGGAGAAAAAAAAUUAGGUCGGUCAGGUUAGGUGUCGGCGAUAAGAAAAGAGAUUGCGGGAGCAUCCCCAGCCUUCUUCUUUCCCCUUUUGCCGCCCCCACACACUCCCCCCACGCGUCUAUCACGGAAGCAACACAGAGGAGCGCACACGCACCACUCACACCUCCAACUAUUGACUGUUGUAUCAGGUGUUCUAACCGGGAUGUGACAGUUGAGGCUGGGAGCAGAAAUAAUCAACAUGCCCAUUAGAUACAGGACGGAAUAAUGCUUCUAUUGGUUGGGUCCCUUCGAGGUAAGCGGGUGUAUUGAGCGGGGAAACUUGGGAUCUGAGAAUGGAUCAAAGCUACUUUCUUUCUUAUUUUUCGUCCUACUAGUUUUCUUUAAGAAUCUUGGUUUGUACAUAUAAGUUAGCGCCAGCCCACAAAUAAACUGGUAGGAGUAAGGGCUAUAUACCUUUCCACACCUUAAAACCAUCUGCUCAGUUUGACAUUUAAAAGGGCGGAGAGCAGAGAAGGAGGAGGGGGGAGUAGGGGGAAGAAAGGAGUCAGGGACAGAGAAAAAGAUUCAAACGCGAAAAAAAUGGCUUGCACUUUAGCCCACAAGUUUGUGUCAAUUGCACAUAGCGCUUGAAUGCACGUUUUGCACACACCACGCCCGGGAACUGGCGGCGGGAAAAGUUCCCUGAGAACCCCAGUAAGUCCUGUGUCACGCCGUGGGCAAAAGCAGGCCUGAGUCGAAGUCGGGGUAACCCGCUUGCCGAACAAGGAAGCUCUCCCACCCCCAGCCUCGGCGGCAGAGGCUCCCGGCUCGCGACGCUCUGCCGCGGCGGUUCGCAGCCCGCAUUAGGGCGCAGGAGCGGCGACUUGAAAUAGGAGCGCGCGCCACGCUAGGCGAGCGAGAUCGGUUCGCAGCCCAGCUCCGUGAGCUGCCUCGGCGCAGCCCUGUCCCGUGUCCUGUCCUCUACUGUCGGGGAGGCGUACAGGCCAGGCUCCUGGCAACCUCUCUUGCUAGAGCUGCGGCAUUCUCCUGGGUCUCGGGCUGCCCUGGACAAGACUUGAGGCCCGAGCCCCCUAUCUCGGGCGACUCCCGCUUUGUUUUCUGAUAGGGGAGAAGCCUGGAGACAAGGAGUCGCCUAGAUAUUGGCUCCAUCUCUGAAACCAGCCGCCAAGCCUAGGGUUAAGACAACUCCUCCCUCCGCCCCACUUCCAACACAACCCCAGUAACUUAGAAGUUAACGCAAGUUCUGACCGGUCUUGUAACACACUCUAUCCGUGCAGGUUGCAUUUACUUAUUUAUCUGAAGGGUGAUCUGUGUGUUCUUAGACAAACUCGCAGUUAUCACCCAUGCAUCUGGUUCUGGGUUAAAUACACUUCGCCUUGACAUUUGCUCGGUGUAUGCUCACGCCUCCUGUUCUUUCUUAAAGCUGUUAGGUGGGGGCAGGAGGGAAGACAGUGUGUAUAAGUAAUUUAAAACCUUACAAACAACUGUUAUCAGAUCCUAAACAAACCAAUUCUGAGAAUUACAACCAGAUUCAGUUGAGAGGCAAAAGUGGACGUGGAUUUUGGAAAAGGGUGCCUAAGGACUUCCAGGUCAGCCACCCACCGCUACCACCACCACCACCGCCACCACUACCACCAUCACUAUCAGCACCCUGAAGAAGGGAAGAGAGGAAAACCAACCCCAGGGUGCAGGCCUGCCUGCUGCAAGCUUUCUAGAGGCAAAACUGACUGACGGCCUCUCACUCUCAUCUCCUGUGCUCAGUGUGACGCCAAGCCCAACCUGGAUUUGUUCUGAAUGGGGGGGAAGUGAAAUGCCACAAGAUCAGUAGCAAGUAGCAGCUGCAGCGUUUUCUCUCCUGGGAACCCCACUGCUUAGAAGCCUCCUGAGUGAUGUUUGUUUAACCAACAGCUUUCAAAGUAAACAGAAGCCAAUCACUCCAAAGAAGUUGAAAUAUAACCCUUACAAGAAUUUGGAUCCAGGGGUGCUGGCAGAAAGAAAGUAAUUUUUAAAAUGAUAAAGAACCCACUCCCAAAUAAGAGUCUGCCACAUUGCUUUAAGGAGCGCAGAAUUGUCAUGAAAAUAUAAUUUCAUCGAAAGGGCUAAUUACAAUAAGUUGACCUCGAAGAAAAUCACUCUUCGCCCACAAAGACACACCCGCGGGGAUGAGGAGGUUGUCAGUGAUUGAAGGGACACACUACUACUUGAUUUUAUGGAAGUGGGCGAAAACAAUCAAAGGGAAGUACAUUCCCUGCCCUGGAGUAGUGAAGUGUAGGCUGGGAGCUCUUCGCCGCCAACCCUGGCUUUGCCUCAGGCACCGAACUUUCCAAUACCAAGAUAUUAACAGAUGGUGGUGAGCACAUGGAGGGCUGCUACUUACAUAAUCUAGCCACUCCGCCCGGCUGCCCAGAGCCCGGCGAGGAACCGGCCAGGCCGCGCGCGCGCCUUCCGAGGGGUGCUCCCUGACAUAACUUGCCUUUCUCCAACCCCACCCAUCGUUUUGAGGGUUAGCAUUUGGAGAGGCCGUGAUUUAAAAAAACCAAACAAAAACAAAAACACCCAAAACAUUGA
This is a long non-coding RNA of Homo sapiens (human), 2627 nucleotides long. The record is from Ensembl. Lineage: Eukaryota; Metazoa; Chordata; Mammalia; Primates; Hominidae.